AUUGAACGCUGGCGGCAUGCCUUACACAUGCAAGUCGAACGGCAGCACGGGAGCAAUCCUGGUGGCGAGUGGCGAACGGGUGAGUAAUAUAUCGGAACGUGCCCAGUCGUGGGGGAUAACGUAGCGAAAGCUACGCUAAUACCGCAUACGAUCUAUGGAUGAAAGCGGGGGGAUCGCAAGACCUCGCGCGAUUGGAGCGGCCGAUAUCAGAUUAGGUAGUUGGUGAGGUAAAGGCUCACCAAGCCGACGAUCUGUAGCUGGUCUGAGAGGACGACCAGCCACACUGGGACUGAGACACGGCCCAGACUCCUACGGAGGCAGCAGUGGGGAAUUUUUGGACAAUGGGCGCAAGCCUGAUCCAGCAAUGCCGCGUGCAGGAUGAA
This 383-nucleotide ribosomal RNA is filed under the name uncultured bacterium. Its description in RNAcentral is "bacterial SSU rRNA". It matches the Rfam family "Bacterial small subunit ribosomal RNA", at positions 30 to 412 of the family's 1533-position model. The record is from RNAcentral.